Molecule: ribosomal RNA, 576 nt
Filed under: Triticum aestivum (bread wheat)
Lineage: Eukaryota; Viridiplantae; Streptophyta; Magnoliopsida; Poales; Poaceae
Description: partial small subunit ribosomal RNA
Source: RNAcentral
AUGCCCCUUUCUCUGCAUAAGAUCAAGCAUGGUAUGCUGCUUCCGGUUAUUCACAGAGUUGAUCGCCGUCUCUCUGGUUGGCUGGCCACCUUUCUUUCCUGGGGAGGGCAUCUCACGCUCAUUAACUCAGUGCUGGCAAGUAUACCGAGUUAUUUCAUGACUUGCUUUCCGUGGCCCAAGGAACCACUUAGCAAGCUGGAGGGCCUCCUUCGAGCUUUCUUCUGGCAAGGCAAGAACAAGAUCAAAGGUGGUCAGUGCCUCGUGGCUUGGGACAAGGUGGUUCUCCCCGUGCUAAUGGAGGUCUGGGCAUUAGAGAUUUACACGCUCAUAAUGAGGUUAUGCCUUGCAAGUUUGUGGCAAAAAUUCUUCAAUCCUCAGACAUUCCUUGCUACCGCUGGUUUGCAUCUCAGUACUGCAAGGCUAUCCUACCUUUGGGCAGCAACCACAAGGAUACGGCCAUAUGGAAGGGUUUUAAAGGCUGCAUUUCUCUGGUCAUGUCUUCCACUCGUUGCUCUGUUGGCCUUGGUUCCCAUGUCUCCUUUUGGCAUGAACAGUGAUUGGAAGUUGGCAGGCUGA